This 301-nucleotide ribosomal RNA is filed under the name uncultured bacterium. Its description in RNAcentral is "partial 16S ribosomal RNA". It matches the Rfam family "Bacterial small subunit ribosomal RNA", at positions 509 to 807 of the family's 1533-position model. The record is from RNAcentral.
CAGUAGCCGCGGGAAUACGUAGGUGGCAAGCGUUGUCCGGAUUUAUUGGGCGUAAAGCGAGCGCAGGCGGUCAAUUAAGUCUGAUGUGAAAGCCCCCGGCUCAACCGGGGAGGGUCAUUGGAAACUGGUUGACUUGAGUGCAGAAGAGGAGAGUGGAAUUCCAUGUGUAGCGGUGAAAUGCGUAGAUAUAUGGAGGAACACCAGUGGCGAAGGCGACUCUCUGGUCUGUAACUGACGCUGAGGCUCGAAAGCGUGGGUAGCAAACAGGAUUAGAUACCCCCGUAGUCCCUGUCUCUUAUAC